RNAcentral lists this transfer RNA (73 nucleotides) under Caudoviricetes sp. Its description in RNAcentral is "tRNA-Asn". Lineage: Duplodnaviria; Heunggongvirae; Uroviricota; Caudoviricetes. The record is from RNAcentral.
GGAAAUGUAGCUCAGCUGGCAGAGCAACGAGCCGUUAACUCGUGGGCCGUAGGAUCAUACCCUACCAUUUCCG